UACGGGGGGGGCAAGCGUUGUUCGGAAUUACUGGGCGUAAAGGGCUCGUAGGUGGCCAACUAAGUCAGACGUGAAAGCCCCCGGCUUAACCGGGGAGGGUCGUUGGGGACGGCGGGGCUUGAGGGCGGGAGAGGGUGGUGGAAUUCCCGGUGUAGUGGUGAAAUGCGUAGAGAUCGGGAGGAACACCCGUGGCGAAGGCGGCCACCUGGGCCGACCCUGACGCUGAGGCGCGAAGGCGUGGGGAGCGAACGGG
RNAcentral lists this ribosomal RNA (253 nucleotides) under uncultured bacterium. RNAcentral describes it as "partial 16S ribosomal RNA". It matches the Rfam family "Bacterial small subunit ribosomal RNA", at positions 524 to 776 of the family's 1533-position model. The record is from RNAcentral.